UGAGGAAUAUUGGUCAAUGGGCGGAAGCCUGAACCAGCCAAGUCGCGUGAGGGAAGACGGUCCUAUGGAUUGUAAACCUCUUUUGUCGGGAGCAAAGCUGCUCACGUGUGAGCGGAAGGAGAGUACCCGAAGAAAAGCAUCGGCUAACUCCGUGCC
This 156-nucleotide ribosomal RNA is filed under the name uncultured bacterium. Its description in RNAcentral is "partial 16S ribosomal RNA". It matches the Rfam family "Bacterial small subunit ribosomal RNA", at positions 355 to 509 of the family's 1533-position model. The record is from RNAcentral.